Molecule: unclassified non-coding RNA, 326 nt
Filed under: soil metagenome
Description: partial contains 5.8S ribosomal RNA, internal transcribed spacer 2, and large subunit ribosomal RNA
Rfam family: 5.8S ribosomal RNA (bases 1-120)
Source: RNAcentral
GAUGAAGAACGCAGCGAAAUGCGAUAAGUAAUGUGAAUUGCAGAAUUCAGUGAAUCAUCGAAUCUUUGAACGCACAUUGCGCCCCUUGGUAUUCCGAGGGGCAUGCCUGUUCGAGCGUCAUAUUAACCACUCCCGCUUGCGGGGUCUUGGGCUUCGCCUCCGGGCGGGCCUUAAAAUCAGUGGCGGUGCCGUCGGGCUCUACGCGUAGUAAAUUUUCUCGCGAUAGGGUCCCGGUGGAUGCUUGCCAACAACCUCCAACUUCUUAAGGUUGACCUCGGAUCAGGUAGGGAUACCCGCUGAACUUAAGCAUAUCAAUAAGCGGAGGA